Molecule: ribosomal RNA, 206 nt
Filed under: uncultured bacterium
Lineage: Bacteria
Description: partial 16S ribosomal RNA
Rfam family: Bacterial small subunit ribosomal RNA
Source: RNAcentral
CGCGUAGGCGGCCAAGCAAGUCAGGGGUGAAAGGCCUGGGCUCAACCUGGGAACGGCCUCUGAAACUGCUAGGCUCGAGUGCGAGAGAGGAUGGCGGAAUUCCCAGUGUAGAGGUGAAAUUCGUAGAUAUUGGGAAGAACACCGGUGGCGAAGGCGGCCAUCUGGCUCGUGACUGACGCUGAGGCGCGAAAGCGUGGGAGCAAACA